This 559-nucleotide ribosomal RNA is filed under the name Microbacterium sp. 6CCU-S3. RNAcentral describes it as "bacterial SSU rRNA". It matches the Rfam family "Bacterial small subunit ribosomal RNA", at positions 321 to 889 of the family's 1533-position model. Lineage: Bacteria; Bacillati; Actinomycetota; Actinomycetes; Micrococcales; Microbacteriaceae. The record is from RNAcentral.
GAGACGACUUACCAGACUCCUCAAGGAGGCAGCAGUGGGGAAUAUUGCACAAUGGGCGCAAGCCUGAUGCAGCAACGCCGCGUGAGGGACGACGGCCUUCGGGUUGUAAACCUCUUUUAGCAGGGAAGAAGCGAAAGUGACGGUACCUGCAGAAAAAGCGCCGGCUAACUACGUGCCAGCAGCCGCGGUAAUACGUAGGGCGCAAGCGUUAUCCGGAAUUAUUGGGCGUAAAGAGCUCGUAGGCGGUUUGUCGCGUCUGCUGUGAAAUCCGGAGGCUCAACCUCCGGCCUGCAGUGGGUACGGGCAGACUAGAGUGCGGUAGGGGAGAUUGGAAUUCCUGGUGUAGCGGUGGAAUGCGCAGAUAUCAGGAGGAACACCGAUGGCGAAGGCAGAUCUCUGGGCCGUAACUGACGCUGAGGAGCGAAAGGGUGGGGAGCAAACAGGCUUAGAUACCCUGGUAGUCCACCCCGUAAACGUUGGGAACUAGUUGUGGGGUCCAUUCCACGGAUUCCGUGACGCARCUAACGCAUUAAGUUCCCCGCCUGGGGAGUACGGCCGC